Molecule: non-coding RNA, 74 nt
Organism: Morchella snyderi
Lineage: Eukaryota; Fungi; Ascomycota; Pezizomycetes; Pezizales; Morchellaceae
Source: the annotation of a GenBank genome assembly
GGUUCCGUAGCACAGUUGGCCGUGCGCCCAUUACCAAAACCGGGUGGUCGAGGGUUCAAGUCCCUUUGGAACCC